Molecule: long non-coding RNA, 905 nt
Organism: Vespula vulgaris
Lineage: Eukaryota; Metazoa; Arthropoda; Insecta; Hymenoptera; Vespidae
Exons: 3
Source: RefSeq, a predicted model, not a curated record
CGCGAAUGGUGUAUACCUACGUGCUCGUCAAAACGACGGUAACCUCAGUUUCGCAUAGUCCGUCGUCGCGUUCGCGUCUCUUCCUGUCUUUUCUUCUAUUAUGUGUGAGAGAAAUUUGUUUUUUUAUUUCAGGAAGAAAGUUAUGAAUUCAUAAUUCAAAGAGAAAUAAAAGAAAUAUUUAGAAUCAGCUAAAUUUUCAGAAAGAAUUUUGUUAAUUUUGAUUAUUUAUUAUUUUUAGUCGUUGUUUUUAUGCAUGAAAAGAAUCAACGAACGGGUUCGGAAUUUCGUAAAAAUUGUUGAAGUGUACGUGGUGGACAAGUAGAGAAAGUUUGAUUUGUUGUUAAAUUAUGAGGAGUCAUCGGCGAACAAGUAUUUGAUAACACACACAUAUAUAUACACGCACAUACACACAUGUAUAGCUUUUAAAGUUAAUUAAAUAAGAUUAAAAAUUCUGACAUUUCAAUCUUGGGCAAGUCCAACGAUAGAUAUAAAAAUUCGAAGUAAAAUAUAUUUACGGACGAUAGCGUCGUCUUUGUACUUAAAUACGAAAAGAAUACCUAGGACGGUCUUUAAUGUUCAAUUGAACGAAUUAUCACGAAGUAACGGUGUACGUGCUUAAUUCAAUUUAUAUACUCGAUCCGAACUUCGUUAAUGAGACUAUCGAAAGUAAUCUGGUCGUGAACGGUAGUGCAUCUCGUGAAUCUAGUGAAAAGAGACAAUUUCGUAGAAAAUAAAGUGCUCGGUAAAUUUAACAUCUUCGAAAACGUUGAAAGAGGUGACUUCGACCUCAAGAAAAUCGAGGAAAGAUUCUGUUUACGGAUGAUCGCCGAAGAACGUGGCAAAACUUUUUUACGUUCCAAAAUCAUCACAAAAUUGACAUGCUGUCUGACGACAUCGAAAAAAGA